This 2116-nucleotide long non-coding RNA is filed under the name Oryctolagus cuniculus (rabbit). RNAcentral describes it as "lncRNA (ENSOCUG00000031353.1)". Lineage: Eukaryota; Metazoa; Chordata; Mammalia; Lagomorpha; Leporidae. The record is from RNAcentral.
AUGAGGAACCUGGGGGCUGGCGGCGGGGCGGAGAUGGGAGAGCGAAGAACGCGAGGUAGGGGGUACUCACACAUUAGGAGAAGACAGGACCCCCUUCCUCUGCAGUCCGCCAGGAGUUUAGCAUCUUCAGGAAGAGAGAACGAGCAAGGAGUGGCCACCUUUUGGCUAGUGGAGGGGCAUACCAGAAUGUCUCCUUCUAUGGGGUUCCCUGGUGAAAACAGCUUUUGCUUACUUCAGUGGCAAGAAGUUUCAAAAUCUUAUCUGGAGCAGGUCACUGGGGAUCAAGGUGAGUCCAACUACGUGGCUGAUACUGACAGCUUCUGCCUUUUUUCUAUGUUCUUAGCCUUCUCCUGGCAUUUCAGGUAUAUAGAUCUCAUCACUGAGCCUUUCGGUGUGAAUAUUUUCCUUUUUUUAGCUGCUCUUCUGUGUUGACUCAAAUUCUUUAAUGGGCUAUAGAGCAUUUUCUGAGCUAUUUUGCUGUGUGAGAAGCUGUCCAUAUUUGAUUUUGGUGGGAAGAAUGAAAAAUGAAAGCUGGUAUCUCCUUCUCAGUCCUUUUGGUGAUGUCAGCCUAGGUAUGUAGUUUUAUUAUUUGUUUAAUGCACAUCUUUCCAACUAAAUGAAAUACCUUUAUAUCAUUAAUGUUGAGCAUAUUGCUUGACACAUGGUUGUAGAUACUCAGCAAGUACAUUUUUAAAAAAGAUUUAUUUAUUUAGUUAGUUACUGAAUUACUUGAAAGUCAGAACAACAUAGAAAGGGAGAAAGAGAAAGAAUGAGAUCUUCCAUCCAUUGGUUCACUCCCCAAAUGGUACAAAAUGGCAGCAAAAGCCAGAUCUGGGCCAAACUGAAGCCAGGAGCCAGGAAAUGUAUCCUGGUCUGUCACAUGGGUGGCAGGGCCCCAAACACUUUAGCUAUCUUACACUACUUUCACAGUCAUGUUAUCAGGGAGGUGGAUUGGAAGUGGAGCAGCAGGGACUAGCAUCAGGGGUGAUAGCUUAACUCACUGAGCCACAGAUGCCAUCCCAUGAAUAAGUAUUUUCUGAUUGAAUGGAUAGAUGUGCAUUUACCGUUAUUAUCUUAAUUCAUCUAAAAUUUAGUGACCUAUAUAAGGCAUCUUCCAAUCUUAAUCUUUUUAUGAAAUGGCUUUUUUCUUUGACUCCAGUCAAAUUUCCCUGUCCUAAUUCUCCCAUCUGACUAAUUCUAUCUAAUCGUCUUUACAGUCUUUGGUUUUCUUUUAAAUAUUUGUUAUUUAUUUGAAAGGGAGAGUUACAGACAGAGAGGGAAAGUCAAACAGAAAGAGAUCUUCCACUCACAGGUUAACUCCCCAAAUGGCUGCAAUCGUCGGGGCUGGACCAAGCCAAAGCUAGGAGCCAGGAACUCUGCGCUAGUUUUCCAUGUCUGCAUCAGGGGCCCAAAUACUUGGAGCAUCUUCCAUUGUUUUCUCAGGUAUAUUGGAAGGGAAAUGGAUUGAAAGUGAAGUAGGAAAGACUUGAACUAGUUAUGAUAUGAGAUACCUGCAUCACAAGUGGUGGCUUAAUCCACUGUGCCACAAUGCUCCCUCCACCCCACCUCGGAGCCCAGUCUCCUUUUUAUCUGCUCAUGUCAUAAUUAUUGUACUUUCCAGAGUUCUGUUCUUUCAUUUUGUUCUAUAUACUCUUCUGAGAUGAUCUAUUUCAACCCAAUCACCUCUUAGCUGAUGACUUUGCUGAGUCAACAUAGCUAGCCAAAAUCUUAUUCUCAAAUCUCAGAUACUGAGAACUGCUGGUCUUCUUCAUUUUGAGUAUCAAAUCUAUCACAGUUUGAGCCAAACUCAUCGUAUUUUGUUGCAGACCCACUUCUUUUGCUGUGUUUUGUAUUUGUGUUUUUACAUAUGAAAGUGUGUUAUCCCCCCUGUGAAAAUAUCUAUCAUAUUAUUCAGCAUGUUUUAUUGAAAUUUUGCCUCUUUAUAUUUGCAAUUAACUUUUAGAUAGGGCCCACAUUUGUUUUACCUUUGUAGUCCCAAGAUGUAGCACAUUUUAUGUCAUUGACUUAGUAUUCGUGUACAUUUGUUCAAGUGAGUGCAUAUAUAUUUUUUUCUUUUUUUAACUUUUAUUUAAUAAAUAUAAAUUUCCAAAGUACA